AUGAACGCUAGCGGGAGGCCUAACACAUGCAAGCCGAGCGGUAUGGAUAGCUUGCUAUCCAGAGAGCGGCGUACGGGUGCGUAACACGUGUGCAACCUACCUUUAUCUGGGGGAUAGCCUUUCGAAAGGAAGAUUAAUACCCCAUAAUAUAAUGAUUGGCAUCAAUUAUUAUUGAAAACUCCGGUGGAUAGAGAUGGGCACGCGCAAGAUUAGAUAGUUGGUGAGGUAACGGCUCACCAAGUCAAUGAUCUUUAGGGGUCCUGAGAGGGAGAUCCCCCACACUGGUACUGAGACACGGACCAGACUCCUACGGGAGGCAGCAGUGAGGAAUAUUGGACAAUGGGUGAGAGCCUGAUCCAGCCAUCCCGCGUGAAGGAUGACGGUCCUAUGGAUUGUAAACUUCUUUUGUACAGGGAUAAACCUACCCUCGUGAGGGUAGCUGAAGGUACUGUACGAAUAAGCACCGGCUAACUCCGUG
Molecule: ribosomal RNA, 478 nt
Filed under: uncultured bacterium
Lineage: Bacteria
Description: partial 16S ribosomal RNA
Rfam family: Bacterial small subunit ribosomal RNA
Source: RNAcentral